RNAcentral lists this transfer RNA (74 nucleotides) under Planktothricoides sp. SpSt-374. RNAcentral's name for it is "tRNA-Ser". It matches the Rfam family "tRNA". Rfam says of the family: Transfer RNA (tRNA) molecules are approximately 80 nucleotides in length. Their secondary structure includes four short double-helical elements and three loops (D, anti-codon, and T loops). The record is from RNAcentral. Lineage: Bacteria; Bacillati; Cyanobacteriota; Cyanophyceae; Oscillatoriales; Oscillatoriaceae.
ACAUACUAGCUCAAAUGGUAGAGCGCUUGAUUGCUAAUCUAGUGGUAGCAGGUUCAAAUCCUGCGUAUGAACCA